AGUUGUAAUCUAUAGAAGUGUUUUCCGUGCUGGCUCAUGUACAAGUCCCUUGGAACAGGGCGUCAUAGAGGGUGAGAAUCCCGUCCUUGACAUGAACUACCAGUGCUCUGUGAUACAUUUUCAACGAGUCGAGUUGUUUGGGAAUGCAGCUCAAAAUGGGUGGUAAAUUCCAUCUAAAGCUAAAUAUUGGCGAGAGACCGAUAGCGAACAAGUACCGUGAGGGAAAGAUGAAAAGCACUUUGGAAAGAGAGUUAAACAGUAUGUGAAAUUGUUAAAAGGGAAACGAUUGAAGUCAGUCGUGCUCUUUGGAUUCAGCCGGUUCUGCCGGUGUACUUCCUUUGAGUGGGGUCAACAUCAGUUUUGAUCGCUGGAUAAAGGCUGGAGGAACGUAGCACCCCCGGGUGAACUUAUAGCCUCCUGUCACAUACA
This 429-nucleotide ribosomal RNA is filed under the name Filobasidium stepposum. Its description in RNAcentral is "partial large subunit ribosomal RNA". It matches the Rfam family "Eukaryotic large subunit ribosomal RNA", at positions 141 to 576 of the family's 3401-position model. The record is from RNAcentral. Lineage: Eukaryota; Fungi; Basidiomycota; Tremellomycetes; Filobasidiales; Filobasidiaceae.